UAGGGAAUCUUCGGCAAUGGACGGAAGUCUGACCGAGCAACGCCGCGUGAGUGAAGAAGGUUUUCGGAUCGUAAAGCUCUGUUGUUAGAGAAGAACGUUGGUAGGAGUGGAAAAUCUACCAAGUGACGGUAACUAACCAGAAAGGGACGGCUAACUACGUGCCAGCAGCCGCGGUAAUACGUAGGUCCCGAGCGUUGUCCGGAUUUAUUGGGCGUAAAGCGAGCGCAGGCGGUUCUUUAAGUCUGAAGUUAAAGGCAGUGGCUUAACCAUUGUACGCGGGGGAAACGGGAGGACUUGAGUGCAGAAGGGGAGAGGGGAAUUCCAUGUGGAGCGGUGAAAUGCGUAGAUAUAUGGAGGAACACCGGUGGCGAAAGCGGCUCUCUGGUCUGUAACUGACGCUGAGGCUCGAAAGCGUGGGGAGCAAACAGG
This 429-nucleotide ribosomal RNA is filed under the name Bacillota bacterium. RNAcentral describes it as "Firmicutes bacterium partial 16S ribosomal RNA". It matches the Rfam family "Bacterial small subunit ribosomal RNA", at positions 355 to 776 of the family's 1533-position model. Lineage: Bacteria; Bacillati; Bacillota. The record is from RNAcentral.